CCCACAAUUCCGUGUGAUUUCCGUUUCCUGGAGACGGCGAUGUGUCCGGCGUGGGAUAAUCGAAGGGUAACCAGUGCAGUGUUUUGUACAGGAGAGUCGGGGGAUGUUUACUGAGAGUGGAGUUGAGAGGAGUUGAGAGGAGGAUCUACAAUGGCUUUGUGUUUGACUGCGGUUGCUGAGCAGCUUCUGAAGGAUGUACAGAGGGCAUACUCGGAGAAAUCCCAGAUACCAGAUGACCUACUUAUAGCGUUGCGGUUUGCGUUUGGCUCAUGUACUCUUCAGGCCUUAGAUCUGGUGGACCAGCGCUCUGUAACACGUGUGUCCUCUCCGAGUGGACGAGUAGCAUUUCAGGUACUGGGUGGAUCAGGUUGUCUCUAUACUUGCUAUACAUCUUGUCAUUAUUGCUCCUGUCCUGCCUUCUCUUUCUCUGUGCUCAGGAGGAAUGAGAGUCUGGUGUGUAAACACAUUUUGGCAGCCUACCUGUGCCAGGCCAUGGGCUUAUGCCAGCAAGAGCAGGUCCCGGAUCAGCACAUGACCCUCAUUCUCUCAGGAAGAGCCCAGCCGGAUCCAUAAACGCACCAUCCUGGAAGAAACCACCCAAAGACUUGCUGGUGUUCUGUGGAAUCCAUUGUUUCUUCCACAUGUGAAAACUGCCAAUUUUAUGGGUGGAAUAACAACCCAUGGCGUGUAGACCCGCCCCCAUGCUUCACAGGUGACGAGGUGCUCUUUUCUCUAACUAUACCUUUGCUGAUUGAGAGUUAUAUACUUACUUAUACUUACUUAAAUGUUUACUUUGUUAGUUUAAAGCGCUUGUUUUUGAAUCACACCUGGAUGUUCAGUAGCAUAGUUUACAUUUAGGCCUUCAUUUUUUAAGAUACUUCCUUAAGGAUUAUGUUACAAGUAGCAAGUAGUGCUGCACAGUAGAACAGUGCACCUCCACUCUUGUGCACCUCUACUCUGGCUCUCUCUAUUUUUUUUGUCUUGAUCACCAGUAGUUUACCAGUAGUGUUUGGGCAUUUUUUUCUAAAAAUUGCUGUACUGACCCUGUCAGAUGAUGUCUGCCAGUGUUGCUUGUUUGCUCCCAUGGGCAAUUCUAGCCAGAUGCACGCAGUCACAAUCAUUACCCCCCACUAAAAUGCAUUUUUCAGGGUUUCUUGGUAUCCCUGAUUUUAUCCUAUUGUCCAUAAUUGCACUGAACUUCUAUUUCUUCCUAAAAUUCUUUGCUAAGAACACUCGGCUAUCUUUUUUAUAGCCGUCCCCUGCCUUGUGGGCAUCAAUUACAUUUGUUUUUAAAUCUUUAGACAGGUUAGACAGCUUAGAGGAGCCCAUGGGUGCCAAGUGUAAGCAUAAGGUUUGAAGAGGCUUUUGCUCCGGCUACUCUGACUCUAAGCAAGACAGAGCAAGAAACAGUGUGUUUUAUAACUGAUUAUAUAGUAUUACUUCUUAGCAAACAAUAUGGGCCAACUUAACUGUGUGAACUCUUUUUACAUCACUUCUCAUGUCACGAGUUCUACCAUUGUGUGUAAUAUCAGUCAAAAUCAGCCACUGGCACUGAAACAGGGAGAUUUGUUCUACAUGUGAAUCGUGACUCAGUUGUGACUAUCUAGCUGGUGUUUUCUACCAAUUAUAGAGGGACGAAGCUUCCACCAGGGAAUCUACCUCAGCGGUACAUAUGCAGGCUUGAGUGAUGGUCCAAACUCUUCAGUGCAGGUCACUUCAUCACUGGUGCUCAGACGCUGCACAGUCUGCCCACUCUGAUGGAGCCAAGUGAGUAAUACACACAAUGAAUUAUUCAUCAGGCCCUCCCAAAGCCUGUCACUGCGUUUCUCUUCGUAGGGAAGAGUGCAUGACUGCAAUGAUGGUGAAUGAAGAGGCAACUGUCUUGUUUUACUUUGCUUUUCUGACUUACGCUUGUUGAGUAGUGACUCGAUCACUAGAGUAUGACUGUGUUAUUCCUAUUCGUCUUAUUUGUGAUACUUCAUUUCCAAUAAUCAGAUAUCUCACUUCUCCCGUGAUCUGGAGAACAUACUCACGCAUGUUGAUAGUGGCUCUCUGAUGCCAGCAGAUCAUAUACAACAUUCAGAAAAGCAGAACAUUGUAUAUCUUUGGUUCUAUACCUUUGGUUAGUUUUGGUUUCAUACUGCAGUUUAGUAAGUAGAAUAAAGAGCUUUACUACAUCCUGUCCUCAUCAGCUACAUGAUCUGCAUCUCUCUAUACUCCAUUCAUAAUUCAUAAUUGCUAGCUGUGCUGCUUUAUGAGGCUAAAACUCCCUGUGGACCUUCCUAUUUACAGUUAUAACACAACCGUAAGCUUUUAUAUCUUUUAGCAACAUCAGAAAACAUUAUAUAUGCAGAGGAAAGACUGUUAAUUAUAUGUGUAUAUACAGCUCUGGAAAAAAUUAAGAGAGCACUUUCUGAAUCAGCUUCUCUGAUUUUGCUAUUUAUAGGUAUAUAUUUAAGUAAAAUCAACAUUGUUGUUUUAUUCUAUAAACUAUGUACAGUAUUUCUCCCAAAUUCCAAAUAAAAAUAUUGUCAUUUAGAGCAUUUAUUUGCAGAAAAUGGGAAAUGGCUGAAAUAACAAAAAAGAUGCAGAGCUUUCAGACCUCAAAUAAUGCAAAGAAAACUAGUUCAUAUUCAUUUGACAUUUAAGAUUUCAGAAAUUAACAUUUGGUGAAAUAACCCUUGUUUUUAAUCACAGUAUUAAUGCAUCUUGGCAUGUUGUACUCCACAAGUCUUACACACUGAUUUUGAAAAGAAUUCAAGCAGUUCAGUUUGGUUUGAUGGCUUGUGAUCAUCCAUCUUCCUCUUGAUUAUAUUCCAGAGGUUUUCAAUUUGGUAAAAUAAAAAAAACUCAUCAUUUUUAAGUGGU
RNA transcript from Astyanax mexicanus (Mexican tetra), 2868 nucleotides. It is a transcript of the gene named zinc finger, SWIM-type containing 7, with no coding region annotated. Lineage: Eukaryota; Metazoa; Chordata; Actinopteri; Characiformes; Acestrorhamphidae. The transcript is spliced from 8 exons. The record is from RefSeq and is a predicted model, not a curated record.